This is a long non-coding RNA of Antechinus flavipes (yellow-footed antechinus), 7704 nucleotides long. RefSeq lists it as uncharacterized. The record is from RefSeq and is a predicted model, not a curated record. The transcript is spliced from 3 exons. Lineage: Eukaryota; Metazoa; Chordata; Mammalia; Dasyuromorphia; Dasyuridae.
GGUGGAUCAUAGGAUCUCGGGUUAGGGAGAAAACUAGAGAGGUCAUUUUCUUUAUUCCUCUCCCUUUGAGUAGCAUUACAGAAAAGCGAGAGUCCAUCUCCUUUGAUUUAGAGGAUCCCAGAGAAGGUAGUUCUUCACCCAUCCUGGUCUAACUCUCAUUCUAGGCUUUCUUUGGUUCCAAGCUCAAUUUCUCCUGCUGUUCCAAAGGUAUUGAGCUCUUUCAGUCUUAGUGCCACAAAAAGCAUGGGAAUGAGUAUCUCUGUUGAUUGGGGUUUUUAUAUUCUUGCUUCCUCUUUGACUUUGGUCAGACCCUGAGGAUUUAAUAUCACGCUUUCCCUUAUAUGCACCAAAUACUGCUGCCUAAAAAAAUACUUUACUUAAAUUUAGAUAAAAAGUCUUUACAUUCACUGUAACAAAAUGUCUGUGGCAGAUAUAUCUGGACCUCAGUUUCCUUCUCUGUAACAUAAGGGAGUUGGACUAAAUGACCUUUAAAUUUCUUUUCAGUUCUAGUACUCUGAUAAUCAUAGCUAAGUGUAUUUGUUUCAGGUCCAGGAUAGAGUCCCCACUCUCCCAUCUUCAUAGGUGGGUGAUCAGGAACAUUGGGACAUUUUGGGGGAACAGAAGCUUGUUAAAAAUCUAUCCUGACCACUCUAAUUUCUUACUUCUCAUACAGACUUAGUGUUCUCUUAGAUUCUGUUGCAAUGUGAGAAGAAUGAAUAGAAUUAUAGACUAUUUGAGUUGGAAGACUCCUUAUGUUACAGACUAUGGGAGGAAGCUUAGUACAUGGAGUGUCAGGGCUGGAUGGACCCUAAGAACAAAGAAUAUCAGAGUUAGAAAGGACUUAGAACAAAAAAUAUGGGUCAGACCUAGAAAGAACCCAAAGAUGUAGAAUUCUAGAACAUAGGUCAUAUAUAUAUAAAAGCUGAGAGGUCAUUCAGUUCAACCUCAUUUUUAAACACAGAAAAUGUUAUUUUUGAUGGAUUACUAACAGAAAUAGGUUAACCUGUGAUCCAUGUAAAUUUCAAUAAUUCCUUUAUAAAUACAUUUAAAAUGCUUAUACAUUUCCAACGAAAUGUCAAAUUUCGUGGCUACAGCUUUUAAACCAAGUUUUUUGGUAGUCUUUAACAAACUGACUCACAGUGAGAUUCAGGGGAAUUAUAGGGUAAAGACUCUUCAAACCAGUGAGGCCGAGAAUGGUAUGCUUACCAGCACGUUCCUUGUAAUUACGAGACAUAUUUAAUACCAACUAUUGUUCAGUGAAAUGAAAACAAUAUUAUAUAAAAUGUAAAAGACACUUAGCUGUGAACAGAAUAUAUUGGUUGGUCACUGCCUUUUUUUUUUUUUAAACUAGACCAAUCUCCUAGUUUUACUGUUGGGAAAAUGGCCCCAGGCAAAGAAAAUGACUUGCUUCAGAUUACAUACUAAGUUAGUGACAGUGCUGGAACCAAACUGCAGUCCUUCUGAAUUUUUAAUUUCCAAUUCCACAGAGAAGCUCCAUUUCUUUUGUUUUGUAUUCCCUGGGUUGCCAUUAUGUAUUCCAUUCUCACUGCCUGACUGACCCCUAGUCUUUACAGAGGAAAAAUUUGUUUCUAUUAAUUCAGAGCAGGAAUAGGAAGAGCCACUUGGUUAAGUGUCCAGAGGCUCAGACCAUUAUUGCCCCCUAUACAUUUUUAAAAAGUACCCAAAGAGUAGAUUUAGUCUUUUUUCUCCCCCCUAUGUAUAUAGAUCUGGUGCUGUUGUCCUUUGAGGUCUUUUCCUAUAGAUUUAGGGCUAUUUCGAGUGCUUGGCCCAUAAUAGUUAAUUAAUAAAGUCCUGUUGACCAACGAUAUUCCUUGAAGGCCACUGAAGAAUAGAAGGAGAUAUUUUCAGUAGUCACUACUUUUGUCUAUUUUGUGAAAAAAGAAGCGAGGAAAAUAUUGGUCCACUCCUGACUAGAACAGCCAGUUCUGCAGAGGAUUCCUAAACAAUUAUAACAGGAGUCUCUUCUGUCCAUGUGUCAGUUCCAUGUCACUAAGGCAAAAUCUCCAGCUUCCAUUUGGUUGCUUUUUUAACUCCUCUAAAACUGACUUCGAUGUUCAUUGUUAUCUGAUUUUACCUGGAUAAAUACAUUGGCUGGAAAGAUUAGCAGCUUUAGCUGUUUUUUUUUCAAAGACCAGGACCCUCAGGUCCUUCCUAUGUAUCUCUAGAAUUAUACUCCACCAAGACACCUGAUCCCACUCCAUAUUUUUAAGGAUGGCCUUAAUGGGUUCCCCUUUUACCUUCAGAGAAUGAUUGUCAUUAUGAUUUUACAAUUAUCUUUGGGUCACCAAAAAUGAGGCAUUUUCAUACUUUUUAAACCAGCUCCUAUGGUCUCAAAUUGUCAGUGCAACAGAGAUAUUAUUUCAGGAAGGUCUUAUCUUUGCAGACUCACUGUGAGAAAGGUUACCUUCUGCUAUCACGGAGGUAUCAAGCAGAUUUAUUCCCUAAAGGGAAAAAAAAUAGACUCCUGCAAAACUGUGUUAAUGAUAAAAAUACAUAGAUAAAGAUAACAGACAUUUGUUUAGUUUUUUGAGAUAUUUUAAAGUUUUUUUUUUUAACAAUUUAUCUCAUUGGAGUCAUGCAGUUGGUAUAUUGCAGAUUUUUAUCUCCAUCUUAGAGAUUAGUGUAGUUAGGAAGCAUAGGAGGUGAGAUUUGAACCAGUCUGACUCCAAGUCCAAAGCUCAAACCACCAUACCAUGUUAUGAAUAGAGCAAAGGUACUGGGAGGGACAUACUUAGACUCUUGUUAGGAAAAUUUCUGUUCAUUUCAUCAAUGCACCUUUACCAAAUCUAGGGGCUCAGUUGAGUCUGAGAUGCUCUCUGCAAGGAACCAAAUCUUCCUAAAGCUCCAAAGAGAAUGCCUGGUAGUGUAUUAUAAUCUUUACAUGGCGGUAUGUUGGUUGUUUCUGUUGCUGAUAUUGGUAUUGUUUUUAUUAUUAAUGUUGUUGUUUUGGUUAUUAAGCUCGCUGGGUUUUUCCUCCUUGGAUCUUUCUUGCCCAUGACAUAAAACCUGCCCUCCUCCACAAUGGCGCUGCAGUUUGCUGCUGUCCCCUACCGUAGUGCUGAAACACUUUCCCCAUUCCCUGGCUUUCCCUGGCCAUGGUGCUGACAGCAAUGUCGCCUUUGUCUUCUUCAUACUACCUCUGGGCUGUGAUAUCUGUGUGUCUCUGUGUGGUGGUUUGGGGGGAUGGAUGUGAGAUGGUAGUUGAUCAGACUUUAGGAUCCAUAGGGUUCCUGGGACCUCUCACUAGCUAAAAGACCCUGGGGUUGGGGAGGGAUCUUGUUUUCUUCUGCUGCUUUUCUCGGUUGUCUUCUCUUCCAGCCACUAAGGACCAAGCCUGGACAGUUCACAAGCCCAUCCAAGGUCUGGAGCCCCGGAAAUGCUUGCCUUCAUUCUUCUUACUAUCAUCCAGUUGGUUGGAUACUUCCAGAGAAACUCUGCCUGUUCCAGAUUCCAAGAGCUGCUACAUCCUGACUCUUCCCCCCGGAGAAGUGACCAGCCUCGUCCAGAGUUCCAUUUCCAAGUCCCAGAUGGAGGAUACUCAGCCUAGGCCGACAGACUCGUCUUCUCAGGACCACCCCACCAUCCUGUCCCUUUCCCAUCCAGCAGAGUGAGUGCCAAAGCUCAGAGAAUGCUGGGAAGAGCCCUGCAUUUAGAGUUGGAUGGCAUGACUUUGAAUUCUGACCCUUCUACUUCUACUCAAGUGAAUUCUGACAAGUCAUUUCAACUCUUUGGGCCUCAGUUUCCCCUUUCUAAGGGAAAAGGACUUUAGAAUAAUUCCUUUCCAUAUGUAGAUCUAUGUAUGGACCUAUUAGUGAGUUCCUGACCUGGCAUCUGUUCCACAGAGAAGGAUGAUAAUUUAAUCAGGAGAUUCAGAAUACUGCUACCUACAAAGGUAGAGCUGCAGGUAAAGGCACAGGGAUGGAGCUUUGGGAAGAGUUCCAGCUGUGGCCAACUGUCUGCCCAGAGUCUGUACAGAGCCUCCAAGGAGACUUUCCAUGUUCUGCAGCCCUAGCCUCUUCUACCUGAGGGGCAGAGGGCUGGAUGCUGAUUCUAAUUCAGUCUCCAGCUUAAGGAAUCUCUAGCCUAGCAUAGGGCAGGAUAUAUUGGGAAAACCAUUGAAUCUGGCAUCCCAGCACUUGGGUUAGAACUUUGAGGAGCUAUGCAGUCUUGGGAAAGUAGCUUCGCCUAUCUGGCCUUGGUUUCCUUGCCUGUAAAAGGAGAGGGUUGGAUUACAUGGUCUCUAGAGGUCUUUUAACCCUUUAGGCUGCUGCUUCUUUGCCGGUCCCAACAAGUUUUGCUUCUCCCUCCUGCUCCUACUAGGGCAUCCGGCCUGUGGUCAAAACCAUUCUCUCAAUAAUACUUUCCCUAAUUCUACUUAGAAAGGCCCCUGCAGGAGGAGCUAGGGAUGUGAAGUUGUAAAAGGGAAAGUGAAAGGUGGGGGAAGAGCAGGUAGCCUACAUAGAGACCUCUCUGUUUCUCACCUUCUUCAAUCAUUCCUCAAAGGCAAAGCACCCCCUCUUUGUGAGGUUUGGUGGGAUCCCCCAGAAUCACAGGGGGAAGAUCUAUUGCUCCUUAUUGGAGUAGGACUGGUGGAGGCGAGGAGGGAAUGAUUUUCAGGAGAAAUGGAUGCUGAGCAAUUCCCUUUCCUCCUGACCCAGCUGUGAAUGGGUAGAGCCAUAUUCUUGAAUCACCUGACUUUAGAGACUGUUAGGUUUUCUAGUCCAGAUCGUGGGUCAAGGCCCUGUUCUGCUCAGCCAGUGGGGCAGGUGCCUAGCAAUCAGAAGGGGAAAGUGAGUGAGAUAUGGUACCUGAGCAAGAUUACCUUCCCCCAGUUCCCUAGCCACCCUUAACGACUGAGGGUAAAACCCAAGGGGAUCAGUAUUGGGAAGAAGUGGCUAAGGUCAAUUUGAUCCUCACCUGUCAAACCAUAGCUGAGGUGUUGACAGAUCUCACCUUAACCCCUCCGCCCCCUGAUUUUCCUCUCAGACAGCUGUUAUACUGUCAUUGCAAAGUUCUGCCUGUUGGUAGGAAGAAGGCAAGCAGGAGAGAGAUCCUGAACUGGGUGCACAGCUGGGGCUCUUUGACCUCCAGGCUCCAUUGAUUGAUUUCAAUUAUAGGAGCAAUGAAAUCUCACCUUCUGGGAGGCAGAGGACUGGAUUAGAUGAUCUAUUGAGAUUCCUUUCUGUUCUAGUUUCGAGGGAUCCAUGGCUUCUGGAAGUCAGGAAUGGUCUGGCACAAACUUGGAAAUACAGAAGUACCUUAAGAGUCAUAAAUGUCCUAUCACUGGAGGUCAAGUAGAGGCUGUAUUGCCACCUUCUAGGUCUAUAUACCCUUGCUUAAGACCAUGAGCAUUGAUGUCCUUGGGGUGAAUGCUCUUGGCCCUUCAGCCCUUAACUAUGACAGGGCUGCUGAGGAAGUAGUUUUGGAAGUUUGUUUAUCGUUUAUGUUCUUCCAGAAGGAGUAUAGACUUCUGUGAUACUGUAGAAAUAACCCUGGCCAUGGAGUUAGAGGAACUGGGUUCAUUUCCUACCUCCAUUGUUUAUUCUCUAUGUGACCUUAAACAAGUCACUUAACUUGAUCCUCAGUUUUCUCAUCUAUAAAAUGAGGAAGUUGGACUAAGUGACUUCUGAAACCUCCCAAGCCUAAAUCCGUGUAAUGACUCAUUAAGGUUUCCUCUCCUCUCUGAGGGUUCAAAUGACUCCUUUUAAAAACUAUUUAUCUGUUGAGCAUAUUUCACCUUUUAGAGUAUCUGAGUGAGUAAGAAUUAUGACCUAGACUGUGAAGAGCUCUUGUCCAGGAGAUUCAGGUUCUAGCUCCAGCUUGGCUGCAAAUUAUCUGUGUGAACUUGGGCAAGUUAUGAGCCUCAGUUUCCUCUUCUGCAAAAUUAGAGCAAUGGGCAAGAUGACCUCUAAGCUAUAAUUUUCCUAAAACUGCUCUUUGGAGGCUUGAAGGGGUGGCGGCGGUCUCAGUUCUGAACUCCUCUGUCCCAGUAUUGAGUGUCUCAGCACUGGACGCCUACCCUUCCUUCAUGCUUUAGUCCAUGCCUCAUGGCUUGGGACAUGGAAAACUACUUUCCAAUGAAUUCUAUGGAGGAAUCUUUGUAAACAUUGUAAAAAGCCCCACUCCCAAGUUCUAUGCUGUCUGAAUCCUAUACUUGGUCCUUCGGGAGAUCUCAGUGCAGACUGGUGGAGGGAAGAAGGCCAUGUUUUGCAGUUGAAGUCAAUGCAGACCAGUUUUCCCUCUAUGUGAGUGAAUGGGGCAAUAUUCAAAAUACCCCCAGGUUUUCCAGGCCAGCUGUUGAGUCAAGGUCCUGUUCUUCUUAAUCAGAAAACAAAAUUUCCAGGGCAGAUCUUGGGUCAAGGUCCCACUCUUUUUGGUCAGAAGUCAGUCUUCCAGGGCAGAUCUUGGGUCAAAGUCCCGCUCUUCUUAGUUGGAAGACAAUCCUCCAGGGCAGAUCUUGGGUCAAGGUUCCGCUCUUCUUAGUUGGAAGACAGUCCUCCAGGGCAGAUCUUGGGUCAAGGUCUUGCUCUUAGUCGGAAGACAGUCUUCCAGGGCAGAUCUUGAGUCAAGGUCCUGCUCUUCUUGUUGGAAGACAGUCCUCCAGGGCAGAUCUUGGGUCAAGGUCCCGCUCUUCUUGUUGGAAGACAGUCCUCCAGGGCAGAUCUUGGGUCAAGGUCCCGCUCUUCUUAGUCGGAAGACAGUCUUCCAGGGCAGAUCUUGAGUCAAGGUCCCGCUCUUCUUGUUAGAAGACAGGUGUCUAGCAGCCAGAUGGGAAAAGUCAAUGGAAUGUGAAACCUUAGCGAGAUAACCCACCCUCGAUCCCCCUCAAUCCUUAGACAUCCUCAUUGACCAAUAUUUUUGAUCAUUAGAAACUCAAGCUGGGUGAGGAGGUCAAAAACCCAGCCACAAAUUCUCAUGUUAGUCUGGAAGUUUUUUCAGUUUUUAGCCUUAUUUUAGUCCAACCCAAUCCCCCCAUACCUGUAGAUCGAGAAGAAGCCAGUUCCACCUUCAACAAGCUUAUAGUCUGGUGGAAGAAGUCCGAGUGUUGCAUAUAAAUCAGAGACCAACAGAAACGGAUACAAAAAUCAGAGAAUGGCGGCACGGUUCAGAAAAGAACCCUGGAUUUCGAGACAGGACCAUUGAUUACCUGUGUGACCUUGAGCAAACUCCUUCAGCUAGUUUUCUUCUCUGUAAAAAGAAGGGUGGGCUGGAUGGCCUUGGAGGUCUCUUCCUGCUCUAGGUCUGUAAUCCUGUGAUGCAAAGCAAGACGGACAGUAAGGAGAAGAGAGAAAGCAUGGCCGGGGGAAGUCACGGCAGUUCCAUGGAGGCAGAGCCAUAACUAGAGGUUUCUCUACCUGGGUCAAAUGGCAGCAGAGCAGCAAGAGUGUGGGGAGUGAGGAGAGACUUAAUUGGGUUGUGCUCCCUUGGGAGCAGGAGGCUUCCAAGCUAGGGAUUUUCCCCUCAGCCCUCAGGAAAAGGCUUCAAUCACUGCUCCUCCAAUGGGACUGUAUCCCCUGGAGAGGGCUGAUGGUGUUUGCUGCCCAGGGCCAAAACUGCAGGUUCCCCACCCUAGUUCUGGCUCUGCACGGAGGUGGAGACGCGGCUAGAAGAUCGGAAGGAGGGUGUUUUAGAGGGGAAGCUUUGAAGUUUGGGCAGUGAAUGGUCCGAGGAUGGGGCAAGGGA